Molecule: ribosomal RNA, 1855 nt
Filed under: Salmonella enterica
Lineage: Bacteria; Pseudomonadati; Pseudomonadota; Gammaproteobacteria; Enterobacterales; Enterobacteriaceae
Also listed under: 1 other name
Description: partial 23S ribosomal RNA
Rfam family: Bacterial large subunit ribosomal RNA
Source: RNAcentral
GGGUUGUGAGGUUAAGCGACUAAGCGUACACGGUGGAUGCCCUGGCAGUCAGAGGCGAUGAAGGGCGUGCUAAUCUGCGAUAAGCGCCGGUAAGGUGAUAUGAACCGUUAUAACCGGCGAUACCCGAAUGGGGAAACCCAGUGUGAUUCGUCACACUAUCAUUAACUGAAUCCAUAGGUUAAUGAGGCGAACCGGGGGAACUGAAACAUCUAAGUACCCCGAGGAAAAGAAAUCAACCGAGAUUCCCCCAGUAGCGGCGAGCGAACGGGGAGGAGCCCAGAGCCUGAAUCAGCAUGUGUGUUAGUGGAAGCGUCUGGAAAGGCGCGCGAUACAGGGUGACAGCCCCGUACACAAAAGCGCAUGUGCUGUGAGCUCGAUGAGUAGGGCGGGACACGUGGUAUCCUGUCUGAAUAUGGGGGGACCAUCCUCCAAGGCUAAAUACUCCUGACUGACCGAUAGUGAACCAGUACCGUGAGGGAAAGGCGAAAAGAACCCCGGCGAGGGGAGUGAAAAAGAACCUGAAACCGUGUACGUACAAGCAGUGGGAGCACCCUUUGGGUGUGACUGCGUACCUUUUGUAUAAUGGGUCAGCGACUUAUAUUCUGUAGCAAGGUUAACCGAAUAGGGGAGCCGGAGGGAAACCGAGUCUUAACCGGGCGUUAAGUUGCAGGGUAUAGACCCGAAACCCGGUGAUCUAGCCAUGGGCAGGUUGAAGGUUGGGUAACACUAACUGGAGGACCGAACCGACUAAUGUUGAAAAAUUAGCGGAUGACCUGUGGCUGGGGGUGAAAGGCCAAUCAAACCGGGAGAUAGCUGGUUCUCCCCGAAAGCUAUUUAGGUAGCGCCUCGUGAAUUCAUCUCCGGGGGUAGAGCACUGUUUCGGCUAGGGGGCCAUCCCGGCUUACCAACCCGAUGCAAACUGCGAAUACCGGAGAAUGUUAUCACGGGAGACACACGGCGGGUGCUAACGUCCGUCGUGAAGAGGGAAACAACCCAGACCGCCAGCUAAGGUCCCAAAGUCAUGGUUAAGUGGGAAACGAUGUGGGAAGGCCCAGACAGCCAGGAUGUUGGCUUAGAAGCAGCCAUCAUUUAAAGAAAGCGUAAUAGCUCACUGGUCGAGUCGGCCUGCGCGGAAGAUGUAACGGGGCUAAACCAUGCACCGAAGCUGCGGCAGCGACACUGUGUGUUGUUGGGUAGGGGAGCGUUCUGUAAGCCUGUGAAGGUGUGUCGUGAGGCAUGCUGGAGGUAUCAGAAGUGCGAAUGCUGACAUAAGUAACGAUAAAGCGGGUGAAAAGCCCGCUCGCCGGAAGACCAAGGGUUCCUGUCCAACGUUAAUCGGGGCAGGGUGAGUCGACCCCUAAGGCGAGGCCGAAAGGCGUAGUCGAUGGGAAACGGGUUAAUAUUCCCGUACUUGGUGUUACUGCGAAGGGGGGACGGAGAAGGCUAUGUUGGCCGGGCGACGGUUGUCCCGGUUUAAGCGUGUAGGUGUGUGUUCCAGGUAAAUCCGGUUCACUUUAACACUGAGGCGUGACGACGAGGCACUACGGUGCUGAAGCAACAAAUGCCCUGCUUCCAGGAAAAGCCUCUAAGCAUCAGGUAACAUCAAAUCGUACCCCAAACCGACACAGGUGGUCAGGUAGAGAAUACCAAGGCGCUUGAGAGAACUCGGGUGAAGGAACUAGGCAAAAUGGUGCCGUAACUUCGGGAGAAGGCACGCUGACACGUAGGUGAAGUGAUUUACUCAUGGAGCUGAAGUCAGUCGAAGAUACCAGCUGGCUGCAACUGUUUAUUAAAAACACAGCACUGUGCAAACACGAAAGUGGACGUAUACGGUGUGACGCCUGCCCGGUGCCGG